Molecule: ribosomal RNA, 848 nt
Filed under: Microbacterium natoriense
Lineage: Bacteria; Bacillati; Actinomycetota; Actinomycetes; Micrococcales; Microbacteriaceae
Description: bacterial SSU rRNA
Rfam family: Bacterial small subunit ribosomal RNA
Source: RNAcentral
AGAGUUUGAUCCUGGCUCAGGAUGAACGCUGGCGGCGUGCUUAACACAUGCAAGUCGAACGGUGAAGCAGAGCUUGCUCUGUGGAUCAGUGGCGAACGGGUGAGUAACACGUGAGCAACCUGCCCCGGACUCUGGGAUAAGCGCUGGAAACGGCGUCUAAUACUGGAUACGAGCAGCGGAGGCAUCUCCAGCUGCUGGAAAGAUUUUUUGGUCUGGGAUGGGCUCGCGGCCUAUCAGCUUGUUGGUGAGGUAAUGGCUCACCAAGGCGUCGACGGGUAGCCGGCCUGAGAGGGUGACCGGCCACACUGGGACUGAGACACGGCCCAGACUCCUACGGGAGGCAGCAGUGGGGAAUAUUGCACAAUGGGCGGAAGCCUGAUGCAGCAACGCCGCGUGAGGGACGACGGCCUUCGGGUUGUAAACCUCUUUUAGCAAGGAAGAAGCGAAAGUGACGGUACUUGCAGAAAAAGCGCCGGCUAACUACGUGCCAGCAGCCGCGGUAAUACGUAGGGCGCAAGCGUUAUCCGGAAUUAUUGGGCGUAAAGAGCUCGUAGGCGGUUUGUCGCGUCUGCUGUGAAAACCCGAGGCUCAACCUCGGGCCUGCAGUGGGUACGGGCAGACUAGAGUGCGGUAGGGGAGAUUGGAAUUCCUGGUGUAGCGGUGGAAUGCGCAGAUAUCAGGAGGAACACCGAUGGCGAAGGCAGAUCUCUGGGCCGUAACUGACGCUGAGGAGCGAAAGGGUGGGGAGCAAACAGGCUUAGAUACCCUGGUAGUCCACCCCGUAAACGUUGGGAACUAGUUGUGGGGUCCAUUCCACGGAUUCCGUGACGCAGCUAACGCAUAAGUCC